RNAcentral lists this ribosomal RNA (253 nucleotides) under uncultured bacterium. RNAcentral describes it as "partial 16S ribosomal RNA". It matches the Rfam family "Bacterial small subunit ribosomal RNA", at positions 524 to 776 of the family's 1533-position model. The record is from RNAcentral.
UACGUAGGGUGCAAGCGUUAUCCGGAAUUAUUGGGCGUAAAGAGCUCGUAGGCGGUUUGUCGCGUCUGCUGUGAAAACCGGAGGCUCAACCUCCGGCCUGCAGUGGGUACGGGCAAACUAGAGUACGGUAGGGGAGAUUGGAAUUCCUGGUGUAGCGGUGGAAUGCGCAGAUAUCAGGAGGAACACCGAUGGCGAAGGCAGAUCUCUGGGCCGUAACUGACGCUGAGGAGCGAAAGCGUGGGGAGCGAACAGG